CGGGAGUCAGACUGCGAGUGAUAAGAUCCGUAGUCGAAAGGGAAACAGCCCAGACCACCAGUUAAGGUCCCCAAAUAUAUGUUAAGUGGAAAAGGAUGUGGGGUUGCUUAGACAACCAGGAUGUUGGCUUAGAAGCAGCCACCAUUGAAAGAGUGCGUAAUAGCUCACUGGUCGAGUGACCCCGCGCCGAAAAUGUACCGGGGCUAAACAUAUUACCGAAACUGUGGAUGAACCUCUUUAGAGGUUCGUGGUAGGAGAGCGUUCUAAGGGCGGUGAAGUCAGACCGGAAGGACUGGUGGAGCGCUUAGAAGUGAGAAUGCCGGUAUGAGUAGCGAAAGAAGGGUGAGAAUCCCUUCCACCGAAUAUCUAAGGUUUCCUGAGGAAGGCUCGUCCGCUCAGGGUUAGUCGGGACCUAAGCCGAGGCCGAUAGGCGUAGGCGAUGGACAACAGGUAGAGAUUCCUGUACCAGUGCUAAUUGUUUAACCGAUGGGGUGACACAGAAGGAUAGGGAAUCGCACGAAUGGAAAUGUGCGUCCAAGCAGUGAGUGUGAGAAGUAGGCAAAUCCGCUUCUCGCGAAGCAUGAGCUGUGAUGGGGAAGGAAAUUAAGUACGGAAGUUCCUGAUUUCACGCUGUCAAGAAAAGCCUCUAGGAAGAGUAGUACUGCCCGUACCGCAAACCGACACAGGUAGAUGAGGAGAGAAUCCUAAGGUGAGCGAGAGAACUCUCGUUAAGGAACUCGGCAAAAUGACCCCGUAACUUCGGGAGAAGGGGUGCUCUAUUAGGGUGCAAGCCCGAGAGAGCCGCAGUGAAUAGGCCCAGGCGACUGUUUAGCAAAAACACAGGUCUCUGCAAAACCGUAAGGUGACGUAUAGGGGCUGACGCCUGCCCGGUGCUGGAAGGUUAAGAGGAGUGCUUAGCUUCGGCGAAGGUACGAAUUGAAGCCCCAGUAAACGGCGGCCGUAACUAUAACGGUCCUAAGGUAGCGAAAUUCCUUGUCGGGUAAGUUCCGACCCGCACGAAAGGCGCAACGAUCUGGGCACUGUCUCAACGAGAGACUCGGUGAAAUUAUAGUACCUGUGAAGAUGCAGGUUACCCGCGACAGGACGGAAAGACCCCGUGGAGCUUUACUGCAACCUGAUAUGGAAUGUUUGUACCGCUUGUACAGGAUAGGUAGGAGCCGAAGAGACGUGUGCGCUAGCAUACGAGGAGGCAAUGGUGGGAUACUACCCUGGCUGUAUGACCAUUCUAACCCGCCACGCUUAGCGCGUGGGGAGACAGUGUCAGGUGGGCAGUUUGACUGGGGCGGUCGCCUCCUAAAGAGUAACGGAGGCGCCCAAAGGUUCCCUCAGAAUGGAUGGAAAUCAUUCGCAGAGUGUAAAGGCACAAGGGAGCUUGACUGCGAGACUGACAAGUCGAGCAGGGACGAAAGUCGGGCUUAGUGAUCCGGUGGUUCCGCAUGGAAGGGCCAUCGCUCAACGGAUAAAAGCUACCCCGGGGAUAACAGGCUUAUCUCCCCCAAGAGUCCACAUCGACGGGGAGGUUUGGCACCUCGAUGUCGGCUCGUCGCAUCCUGGGGCUGUAGUCGGUCCCAAGGGUUGGGCUGUUCGCCCAUUAAAGCGGCACGCGAGCUGGGUUCAGAACGUCGUGAGACAGUUCGGUCCCUAUCCGUCGCGGGCGCAGGAAAUUUGAGAGGAGCUGUCCUUAGUACGAGAGGACCGGGAUGGACACACCGCUGGUGUACCAGUUGUUCCGCCAGGAGCAUCGCUGGGUAGCUAUGUGUGGCAGGGAUAAACGCUGAAAGCAUCUAAGCGUGAAGCCCCCCUCAAGAUGAGAUUUCCCAUUUCUUCGGAAAGUAAGAUCCCUGAAAGAUGAUCAGGUAGAUAGGUUUGGAGUGGAAGUGUAGCGAUACAUGGAGCGGACAAAUACUAAUCGAUCGAGGACUUAACCAAAA
Molecule: ribosomal RNA, 1952 nt
Filed under: Listeria monocytogenes
Lineage: Bacteria; Bacillati; Bacillota; Bacilli; Caryophanales; Listeriaceae
Description: partial 23S ribosomal RNA
Rfam family: Bacterial large subunit ribosomal RNA
Source: RNAcentral